GAUGAACGCUAGCUACAGGCUUAACACAUGCAAGUCGCGGGGCAGCAUGGGGGUUGCUUGCAAUCCCCGAUGGCGACCGGCGCACGGGUGAGUAACGCGUAUUCAACCUGCCCUUCACCACGGGAUAACCCGGCGAAAGUCGGACUAAUACCGUAUGUUGUCCAUUGACGGCAUCCGAUUUGAACGAAAGGCUUGGCGGUGAGGGAUGGGGAUGCGUCCGAUUAGCCAGACGGCGGGGUAACGGCCCACCGUGGCUACGAUCGGUAGGGGUUCUGAGAGGAAGGUCCCCCACACUGGAACUGAGACACGGUCCAGACUCCUACGGGAGGCAGCAGUGAGGAAUAUUGGUCAAUGGGCGUAAGCCUGAACCAGCCAAGUAGCGUGCAGGAUGACGGCCCUAUGGGUUGUAAACUGCUUUUAUGCGGGGAUAAAGUGGCCCACGUGUGGGCUUUUGCAGGUACCGCAUGAAUAAGGACCGGCUAAUUCCGUG
Molecule: ribosomal RNA, 490 nt
Filed under: uncultured bacterium
Lineage: Bacteria
Description: partial 16S ribosomal RNA
Rfam family: Bacterial small subunit ribosomal RNA
Source: RNAcentral